This 88-nucleotide transfer RNA is filed under the name Bordetella bronchiseptica. RNAcentral's name for it is "tRNA-Arg(tcg)". Lineage: Bacteria; Pseudomonadati; Pseudomonadota; Betaproteobacteria; Burkholderiales; Alcaligenaceae. RNAcentral also lists the same sequence under 5 other names. The record is from RNAcentral.
CGACCUGCUGGCGCAGGUACGCGCCGCCUUCGAGGCGCCCUCGCUGUACGACGAGGCGCUGCGGUUCCUGGCCCGCAGCGGCCUGGCC